RNAcentral lists this ribosomal RNA (505 nucleotides) under uncultured bacterium. RNAcentral describes it as "partial 16S ribosomal RNA". It matches the Rfam family "Bacterial small subunit ribosomal RNA", at positions 28 to 507 of the family's 1533-position model. The record is from RNAcentral.
GACGAACGCUGGCGGCGUGCCUAAUACAUGCAAGUAGAACGCACAGUUUAUACCGUAGCUUGCUACACCAUAAACUGUGAGUUGCGAACGGGUGAGUAACGCGUAGGUAACCUGCCUGGUAGCGGGGGAUAACUAUUGGAAACGCUAGCUAAUACCGCAUAAUAUUGAUUAUUGCAUGAUAAUUGAUUGAAAGAUGCUAUUGCAUCACUACCAGAUGGACCUGCGUUGUAUUAGCUAGUAGGUGAGGUAACGGCUCACCUAGGCGACGAUACAUAGCCGACCUGAGAGGGUGAUCGGCCACACUGGGACUGAGACACGGCCCAGACUCCUACGGGAGGCAGCAGUAGGGAAUCUUCGGCAAUGGACGAAAGUCUGACCGAGCAACGCCGAGGGAGGGAAGAAGGUUGUCGGAUCGGAAAGCUCGGUUGUAAGAGAAGAACGGGUGUGAGAGUGGAAAGUUCACACUGUGACGGUAUCUUACCAGAAAGGGACGGCUAACUACGUG